CCUUAGGGUGAGAAUCCCAAGGCGCUUGAGAGAACUCGGGUGAAGGAACUAGGCAAAAUGGCACCGUAACUUCGGGAGAAGGUGCGCCCUUUGGUGUGGUCACGUGCGUGACUGAGCAUCGAAGGGUCGCAGUAACCUGGCCGCUGCGACUGUUUACCAAAAACACAGCACUCUGCAAACACGAAAGUGGACGUAUAGGGUGUGACGCCUGCCCGGUGCUGGAAGGUUAAUUGAUGGGGUCAGCCGCAAGGCGAAGCUCUUGAUCGAAGCCCCAGUAAACGGCGGCCGUAACUAUAACGGUCCUAAGGUAGCGAAAUUCCUUGUCGGGUAAGUUCCGACCUGCACGAAUGGCGUAACGACAGCGGCGCUGUCUCCACCCGAGACUCAGUGAAAUUGAAAUCGCUGUGAAGAUGCAGCGUUCCCGCGGCAAGACGGAAAGACCCCGUGAACCUUUACUAUAGCUUUACACUGAACGUUGAGUUCUUCUGUGUAGGAUAGGUGGGAGGCUAUGAAACCAGGACGCUAGUUCUGGUGGAGCCAUCCUUGAAAUACCACCCUGAAGUGCUUGACGUUCUAACCUAGGCCCGUAAUCCGGGUCAGGGACCGUGUAUGGUGGGUAGUUUGACUGGGGCGGUCUCCUCCCAAAGAGUAACGGAGGAGCACGAAGGUACGCUCAGCGCGGUCGGACAUCGCGCACUGUGUGCAAAGGCAUAAGCGUGCUUGACUGCGAGAUCGACGGAUCAAGCAGGUACGAAAGUAGGUCUUAGUGAUCCGGUGGUUCUGUAUGGAAGGGCCAUCGCUCAACGGAUAAAAGGUACUCCGGGGAUAACAGGCUGAUACCGCCCAAGAGUUCAUAUCGACGGCGGUGUUUGGCACCUCGAUGUCGGCUCAUCACAUCCUGGGGCUGUAGCCGGUCCCAAGGGUAUGGCUGUUCGCCAUUUAAAGUGGUACGCGAGCUGGGUUCAGAACGUCGUGAGACAGUUCGGUCCCUAUCUGUCGUGGGCGUUGGAGAUUUGAGGGGGGCUGCUCCUAGUACGAGAGGACCGGAGUGGACGUUCCGCUGGUGUUCGGGUUGUCAUGCCCAUGGCAUUGCCCGGUAGCUACGAACGGAAGUGAUAACCGCUGAAAGCAUCUAAGCGGGAAGCACGCCCCAAGAUGAGAUCUCCCGAGAGCUUGACUCUCCUAAAGGCACCAUCAAGACUAGGUGGUUGAUAGGUCGGGUGUGGAAGCGCAGCAAUGCGUUGAGCUAACUGAUACUAAUGAGCCGUGAGGCUUGACC
Molecule: ribosomal RNA, 1279 nt
Filed under: metagenome
Description: bacterial LSU rRNA
Rfam family: Bacterial large subunit ribosomal RNA
Source: RNAcentral